UCGAACCAAUCCAAUAGAAAAAUCGUAAAUUGAACCAACCCAAACAAAAAACCGCAUUUUGUUUGGAUGUAAUCGGAUCAUUUUCUUGCUCAACCGCAUGGUUUGGUUUGAUUUGUGGUUUUCAUUUUACCAACCGAACCAAACCGCAACAUAAGAAAAAUGUUAAUUAAACAUAUCUCACUUAGACCAAUACUCAUAGAAAUUCAAUGGAAACUUUUAUAAAAUGACAUAUUUUUUCUCUUGUUAGAUUCCUUCUUUGUUUUUUAUUUAAAAAACGUAUUUAUGUGCUACUUGAAAUUUUAGAGAAUGAAAAAAUCUUAGUCUUUUGCAUUUCUUACAAAAUAAGAUUACGUUUUGUCCAUAUUUUUACUUGGUAUAUGUUGUUGAAAACAUUGUAAAACGAAAAUGAAAUCGUAAUAUUUGAUGAAAUUUAAAACAUUGCUGAAAAUAUGCUGUGUUUCAACUUUUUAACUUGAUUUUAAUGUUGGAAACAAAAAAAAUUAUAGUCUACAAAAAACUGCACCAACCCAAACCAUAUUGAUUUGGAUUGGUUUGGUUCGGAUUUUAUUUUUAAAGUCAACCAAACCAAACCAAACCGCAUGUUUUUUUAUUCUACGGCUCGGAUGACUUUUACCCUCAAAACUGAAUCAAACCACACCGCGAACAUCCCGAGUAUUCACAGGUUAAUAAUACAAAUUUGAGUGAAGACUGUAUUAUGUGGUAAUCAUGAACAAGACACGCUUUGGGGUUUUAUUCAUUUUGUUUAUUCUCCUUGCUUCUAAGAUGUCGGUACAAGCCGAGGAGUUUAACUUUGCUCCAUUUACUCCACUCCAUUUUCGAGUUGAGAGUUGUUUUACAAGGAGUCGUCGGUAUAAUGGAAUUUGUUUAAGUGAUGAAAGUUGUUUUAAAGCUUGUAGUUUGGAAGGUUAUGCAUGUGGUCGAUGCGAAAAACGCAGGCCAUACCUGGGUGAUCACUGCUGUUGCAAAAAAUCUUGUCAACUCAAGUUGGUGCUCGCGGUGCUCUGUCUUGUGUGUUUCUUUUCUGCUUAAAAUAGUACAAUAAAUUCACGUGAUUUUCAUCCAAUAAUAUUCCAAUUGGAGAAGAAAUGGAAUCACAACUUCUACAGUUUGCAAAGAAAUUACGCUGAGGAAGGGGAAAGAGUGAGCCAUGUUCUAAUAAUAUUCCAAUUUUUAUUUUGGAUGUACGAUCAAAUAAAUUAAACAGUUGAGAUUUUGGUGUACGUAUCUAGUAAUAAACUAGAGGGAGUCUCUAUAUCA
This is a long non-coding RNA of Medicago truncatula (barrel medic), 1278 nucleotides long. RefSeq lists it as uncharacterized. The record is from RefSeq and is a predicted model, not a curated record. The transcript has 2 exons. Lineage: Eukaryota; Viridiplantae; Streptophyta; Magnoliopsida; Fabales; Fabaceae.